This 253-nucleotide ribosomal RNA is filed under the name uncultured bacterium. RNAcentral describes it as "partial 16S ribosomal RNA". It matches the Rfam family "Bacterial small subunit ribosomal RNA", at positions 524 to 776 of the family's 1533-position model. The record is from RNAcentral.
UACAGAGGGGGCAAGCGUUGUUCGGAAUUACUGGGCGUAAAGGGCGCGUAGGCGGCCUUCUAAGUCGAACGUGAAAUCCCCGGGCUCAACCCGGGAACUGCGUCCGAUACUGGAAGGCUUGAAUCCGGGAGAGGGAUGCGGAAUUCCAGGUGUAGCGGUGAAAUGCGUAGAUAUCUGGAGGAACACCGGUGGCGAAGGCGGCGUCCUGGACCGGUAUUGACGCUGAGGCGCGAAAGCCAGGGGAGCAAACGGG